This 506-nucleotide ribosomal RNA is filed under the name uncultured Pseudomonadota bacterium. RNAcentral describes it as "bacterial SSU rRNA". It matches the Rfam family "Bacterial small subunit ribosomal RNA", at positions 505 to 1012 of the family's 1533-position model. The record is from RNAcentral. Lineage: Bacteria; Pseudomonadati; Pseudomonadota.
GUGCCAGCCGCCGCGGUAAUACGGAGGGUGCAAGCGUUAAUCGGAAUUACUGGGCGUAAAGCGCACGCAGGCGGUCUGUCAAGUCGGAUGUGAAAUCCCCGGGCUCAACCUGGGAACUGCAUUCGAAACUGGCAGGCUGGAGUCUUGUAGAGGGGGGUAGAAUUCCAGGUGUAGCGGUGAAAUGCGUAGAGAUCUGGAGGAAUACCGGUGGCGAAGGCGGCCCCCUGGACAAAGACUGACGCUCAGGUGCGAAAGCGUGGGGAGCAAACAGGAUUAGAUACCCUGGUAGUCCACGCCGUAAACGAUGUCGACUUGGAGGUUGUGCCCUUGAGGCGUGGCUUCCGGAGCUAACGCGUUAAGUCGACCGCCUGGGGAGUACGGCCGCAAGGUUAAACUCAAAUGAAUUGACGGGGCCGCACAAGCGGUGGAGCAUGUGGUUUAAUCGAUGCAACGCGAAGAACCUUACCUAGGUCUUGACAUCCAGACGAACUUGCCAGAGAUGGCUU